AGAAAAGUUUAGUAUUGACUGCCUAAUAUCAAAAUGCAGGCAAAAACUGAUUUCCUGCCCUCCUGUGUGCAUCUCCGCUUGCCUUCCCAACCUAACAGUGGUCAUAUCGGACGGCCAGUUGCUAGAGAGCCACCGCCUGCUUAUGCAUUUUGUUCGCGACUUUUACGAGUCUUGUGCCUCUUUAAAAAAAAAAUCAUCUGAUGAAG
Long non-coding RNA from Zophobas morio, 206 nucleotides. RefSeq lists it as uncharacterized. The record is from RefSeq and is a predicted model, not a curated record. Lineage: Eukaryota; Metazoa; Arthropoda; Insecta; Coleoptera; Tenebrionidae. The transcript is spliced from 3 exons.